AGGACAUGGCACUGAGUCUUCUUGGGGCUUGCAGCUUCUGUCACCCAGGCACAGUAGUGCCCCCCGCAAAGUUGGGAAGCUUGGGUUCUCCCCCAUUCCCUGUUCCCUGGAUGUUAGAAUUCAGUCAAAUCACCGUGUAUCCAAAUUUGUAGACCACAGGAUUUAGACCACCUGGAAAUAAAGAAAGGAGAAACCAGAGAAUGAAGGCCACUCCGAAGAUGACAAGAUCCCAGAAUUCUAGAGCCCAAAGGAGACAUCGUAGGAAUCACGUUGCCCAGGUUGGUUCUGUGGCUUGCCUAGGAAGCACUCUUCAUGGGGACACAGCAUGUAUUUUAGAAAGGUGGCGAAGAAAGACCCUGUGGGAUCAGGUGACCUUUCUUUCUGCCCAUCAUUUUGGCCAUGCUAAUUCUAUCUCUUGCAUAAUAUCCAAUGCCUGGUUUUCACAGUCAAGAUGCCACGUCUCAGGACAGUGGGCUCUGAAGAUGGAGACUGACUUCAAGGACUAAUGUCAUUCCUGUUCCCUGUCAUUGAAGGGUGCACAUGUAUCUCUGCUUUAUGCCCUGGUAGAGGAAAUAUUCUCCAAUAAAGGUAGCAGACUUAUAAAUUAAUUCCUUAUGAUAAAUUCCAAAUGCUCCUCAAAGAAUGAUGUUUUUCUUAUUAAAGUCUUAUGUGAUGUGUACUAUCAGUCAGGAUGUCAUGGGGCUUAUCAAUAUUGUAUCUCUGCAUGAAUCUGAAAGAUAGUGCUUUUAGAGAUCAAGAGAGUCCACAGAAAAUGCAGUAAUGUGGAAUGGCAUAUAGCAAAGUUUGAGAAUUAUUCUAGACACAUAAUUUUUUUUUUCUAACAAGGGCUCACAAUCUACUAAAAAAAAAGGUACUUUUUUUCCUGGAAUUGUUAAUUGACAAACCUUUAUGUAAAAUCAAAGUGAAUAGUCCCAUAGACACCACUUCAUAUUACAGUUCUUUGCUGGGUCAGAACCAGGGCAAGGCAAGAGAGG
Molecule: long non-coding RNA, 995 nt
Filed under: Homo sapiens (human)
Lineage: Eukaryota; Metazoa; Chordata; Mammalia; Primates; Hominidae
Description: HSALNT0086180
Source: RNAcentral